This is a long non-coding RNA of Neopsephotus bourkii (Bourke's parrot), 2306 nucleotides long. RefSeq lists it as uncharacterized. The transcript is spliced from 5 exons. The record is from RefSeq and is a predicted model, not a curated record. NCBI's taxonomy places the organism in Eukaryota, Metazoa, Chordata, Aves, Psittaciformes, Psittacidae.
GGUACAUGGAGCUGAGAAAAGACACUGCAGAUUGCAUAGGAGCCUAAAACCUGCCUGUAAGUAAAUAAAAUCAAGUAACUGUAAUAAAAAAAAGUUAAUUCUAGCCUUUUGUUUGUUUCCAUUGUAAAAUUGCCAUGGGACUAAGGAAAUAUAGUAGCGCUUAAUUUUAAUAGUUCCAUCAUUGUAGAUUGGCUGGGUAUUAAUUGUGUUAAUGGUGAUCAUACUGAAUUCAUUUGGUAUUUAUUGAGAGACCACCUGUGCACCCAUAUGGUUUCCAUCAUUAUUUAGGAGUAGUUAAUGGACCCAUUAGGAGUUAGCAGAAAGAUGUGGGCUGGCAGUACUUCCCGAGAGUGGUAGAAACAUUCUGCUGAUAUCCAUUGCGUUUUGAGGAUUUUCCAAAGAGCUAUUUGCUUCCCACCAAUUUUCUUUUUCUCUAAGUUCCACAUAAUCUCAUUUUAGCUUUCAAAUGCUCCUGAAAAAAUGAAUUCAUGUUUCUUGGCCUCUCAGAAACCUAGGGGGGCAACCUUUAGCCUUCUGAUCUUGCAAAAUGUCCUUUAACAUGGUCCACACAGCUGAGGCUGCACCUGAAACGCAAAAGCAUCUCCAAGCCUUACCUCCUGCUUUAUUCAGUAGCAAAGCACUGAAAGGACUGGAAACAAGGCAAGGUGAAUGUCUUCUCAAAGCACAGACAUAUUCCUGAGCCACGUAGAGCCAGUGACACACAGCUUUACACGGGGGUUUGCCUACAAAUGGGGUCUAGCUUUGAGCUGGUGAUAUUUAGUACUGAAAUAGAGGGUGACCUCUGUCACAAAGCUUGGGAAACAGAAGACGUGAAUAUGUGAGUCACGCAUGCAGCAUGGGUCUGAGAAUCUAUUGACACAAGAACUCUUUGUUUUAAAUCAUGGAGUAUCCAAAUAUUACAGAAAUGAGAACUCGUACUGUGGCAUAGCAAAUUCCAGCCACUGGUGUUUAACAAGUGCCUUUUUAGCUCUGCAAUUGUAAAUUCCCAGUUAUUGCAAACAAGAGUAAACAAGAAAAAAAGAGAUGGGUGUGUGUGCAUGUAUAUUUCAACUGGAAAAGCAUCUUCUUUUGAAUCUGCCUAUUGGAUACACAAGAGGCUUUUUGGUUUCAGAUGACAGUUGUGUCUCAUUCAUAAAAUUCUGGACACAAUUCCAGUGCCCUGACCACCAGAGCCUUUUCAGCGCAGGAUGUGGCACCGUGACUGCAGUGAGAGCUCCUCAGGCAUGUGUUGCCCCACAGCUUGCCCUUGGAUGAAUCCUUCAAAGAACAGGACUGAAGGGUAACAAAAUUCCACUUUCAAGCUGUUCAGAAGACAUGGUGCUAACAAACAGCUCCCGAAAGGCGAGAUCUUGCAAUCUGCUGCUGUGGAGCAGCUGAAAAGCCGGUUCUCAAAUCCUGGGCAUCUCAGUGUGUGAAGCACAGGCAGGGAAGCACAAGAAAUCCCACCGAAGGUGUCCCUUCGAACGUCUGGAAAAUGUCAAACUGCCUGCCACUCUGUGCUGAGGCAAAUCUCAGCUCCAACAGAAGGCUUUGUCAACACUGUGCCAUAUCAUUAGCUUGAGGUUUAUACACUUCAGUUGACACCUCUCCCUUGUCCUACAGAUGUUGCAUUACAUUUAGGAUUGAGCCUCUAACAAUACAGCUGUUUGAACACAUGUGCAUUUUCCACUCAACAAACCGCAAGGAUAUGGCAGCAGGGUUACAACAUUUGGAUCCUAGGGCUAGAAUGAGAGAAGCAGAGUAAGGUGUUUCUUUGGGAAAUCUCUGUAGUUUCUCCUGUAGUUUCUCUCUUUCUGAUUUUAUUCACUGACUGUACUUAACUCAGGCCAUAGGGAAGGUAAAAUCUGAUUGAUAUUGCAAGUGACAACUGAGGCCUUGAAAUCAUUUCCUCAGUUCAUCUUCAAGAGGUGUUAAGCCCACAGCAUUUUGCUAGCUCUAGAGAAGUAGAGCCAUUUUGACUUUUAUUUGCAAAAAUCCACUUUAUUCCAAUUCCUGUUAAUCCUGUUACUUGUGAAUAAAUUCCUGUUACUUGUGAAUAAAUUAGAACCUGCCCCAAUAAAUGGGUUUAAAGAAGAAUUAUGAGAUAUGCUCAGAAGUGAAAGAUUUUAUAAUGUUCUUUCCACUUUUGCCACUACAGGAUAGGAGAAGCAGUGGCUAGGGUUCACUGGGAGUCUCACAAAAUCAUUGAAUGCCCUUUCUGCUAUCAAUAAAGUACAGAAGUUGGGGAGACUCGCAUGGGUGAUUUAAUAAAAUAAAGUGAGCCCCCAAAUGGGCUUCUUAAGGAA